ACGAGAGGACCGGGAAUGACGUGCCUCUGGUGUUCCGGUUAUUGCGUCAGCAGUAUCGCCGGGUAGCUAAGCAUGGAAGAGAUAAGCGCUGAAAGCAUCUAAGCGCCAAGCUCCUCCCAAGAUAAGAUCUCCCUUAAGAGUCCAGGAAGACUACCUGGUUGAUAGGCUGGAAGUGUAAGUGCAGUAAUGUAUUAAGCUAACCAGUACUAAUUACUCGAUUGUGUUUGUCUAUAC
This 234-nucleotide ribosomal RNA is filed under the name Puniceicoccaceae bacterium. RNAcentral's name for it is "partial 23S ribosomal RNA". It matches the Rfam family "Bacterial large subunit ribosomal RNA", at positions 2683 to 2925 of the family's 2925-position model. Lineage: Bacteria; Pseudomonadati; Verrucomicrobiota; Opitutia; Puniceicoccales; Puniceicoccaceae. The record is from RNAcentral.